CUGGUUUUCUUUCCUAAGAGUUAUUGUUUCUGGCAACAACCACACUCCAGCAGGCUCGGGCCUGAGCUGAUGAAUGGGACAACCUGAUGACCACCACAAAGUUGCGUCUGCUCCUAUCCAGCUAAUCCGAGGGCUCUCAGACAGACUGUGACUAAUGGGGACAUCUGAGGGCAGAACAUUCGAAGGCCAGGGAGGAACAAGUCCAGACAAAGUGUGAGCACACACAUCUGGAGGGCUGGGGAGCCCAUGUCACAUUCCUGGCUGGACUAUGGACUCCAGGAGGAAGGCUUCAGGUUGGGCUUGCUCAGGCUGAGGCAGUUUGGGAGAGUGGGAGUGCAGGGGACUUGGGCAUCUGAAUACCCGGGUUUGAAUUCCACAUCUGUUGCUUUUUGGCUCUGAGAGCUCUGGCAAGUUAUGUAGCCUCCCUGGGCCUUGGUUUCUGCUUCUUUAAAAUGGGGUUAACAAAGAAGAUUGGUGUAAGAAUCACAUAUAAAGGUGCUGUCAAGAAAUCUGGUUGAAGGCUGGGCGUGGUGGCUCAAGCCUGUAAUCUCAGCACCUUGGGAGGCUGAGGUGGGAGGAUCACUUGAGGCCAGGGCUUCAAGAAGAGCUUCGGCAAGACUGUAGCUAUAGCCAUAGCAAGAAUCUGUCUCUAUUUAAAAAAGAAGAAGAAGAAAAAAGGAAUGGAAAUAAAUUAAUUAAAUGGAA
This 705-nucleotide long non-coding RNA is filed under the name Pongo abelii (Sumatran orangutan). RNAcentral describes it as "lincRNA". The record is from RNAcentral. Lineage: Eukaryota; Metazoa; Chordata; Mammalia; Primates; Hominidae.